This 253-nucleotide ribosomal RNA is filed under the name uncultured bacterium. Its description in RNAcentral is "partial 16S ribosomal RNA". It matches the Rfam family "Bacterial small subunit ribosomal RNA", at positions 524 to 776 of the family's 1533-position model. The record is from RNAcentral.
UACGUAGGGGGCGAGCGUUGUCCGGAUUUAUUGGGCGUAAAGAGCGUGUAGGCGGCCAGGUAGGUCUGCUGUGAAAACUCGAGGCUCAACCUCGAGACGUCGGCGGAAACCAUCUGGCUAGAGUCCGGAAGAGGAGAGUGGAAUUCCUGGUGUAGCGGUGAAAUGCGUAGAGAUCAGGAGGAACACCGGUGGCGAAGGCGGCCUACUGGGCCAGCACUGACGCUGAGGCGCGAAAGCUCGGGGAGCGAACGGG